RNAcentral lists this ribosomal RNA (324 nucleotides) under uncultured eukaryote. Its description in RNAcentral is "partial 18S ribosomal RNA". It matches the Rfam family "Eukaryotic small subunit ribosomal RNA", at positions 1470 to 1796 of the family's 1831-position model. The record is from RNAcentral.
CCCUUAGAUGUUCUGGGCCGCACGCGCGCUACACUGAUGCAUUCAACGAGCCUAUCCUUGACCGACAGGUCCGGGUAAUCUUUGAAUCUGCAUCGUGACGGGGAUAGAUUAUUGCAAUUAUUAAUCUUCAACGAGGAAUGCCUAGUAGGCGCAAGUCAUCAGCUUGCGUCGAUUAAGUCCCUGCCCUUUGUACACACCGCCCGUCGCUACUACCGAUUGAACGUUUUAGUGAGGCAUUUGGACCGACGCAUCUCAGUUUAACCGCUGGUUUGUGUUGGAAAGACUUCCAAACUUGAGCGUUUAGAGGAAGUAAAAGUCGUAACA